This 492-nucleotide ribosomal RNA is filed under the name uncultured bacterium. Its description in RNAcentral is "partial 16S ribosomal RNA". It matches the Rfam family "Bacterial small subunit ribosomal RNA", at positions 29 to 507 of the family's 1533-position model. The record is from RNAcentral.
AGUGAACGCUGGCGGUAGGCCUAACACAUGCAAGUCGAACGGCAGCACAGUAAGAGCUUGCUCUUACGGGUGGCGAGUGGCGGACGGGUGAGGAAUACAUCGGAAUCUACUUUUUCGUGGGGGAUAACGUAGGGAAACUUACGCUAAUACCGCAUACGACCUACGGGUGAAAGCAGGGGAUCUUCGGACCUUGCGCGAUUGAAUGAGCCGAUGUCGGAUUAGCUAGUUGGCGGGGUAAAGGCCCACCAAGGCGACGAUCCGUAGCUGGUCUGAGAGGAUGAUCAGCCACACUGGAACUGAGACACGGUCCAGACUCCUACGGGAGGCAGCAGUGGGGAAUAUUGGACAAUGGGCGCAAGCCUGAUCCAGCCAUACCGCGUGGGUGAAGAAGGCCUUCGGGUUGUAAAGCCCUUUUGUUGGGAAAGAAAAGCAGCAGGUUAAUACCCCGCUGUUCUGACGGUACCCAAAGAACAAGCACUGGCUAACUUCGUG